RNAcentral lists this ribosomal RNA (553 nucleotides) under Morchella esculenta. RNAcentral's name for it is "partial 28S ribosomal RNA". It matches the Rfam family "Eukaryotic large subunit ribosomal RNA", at positions 63 to 629 of the family's 3401-position model. Lineage: Eukaryota; Fungi; Ascomycota; Pezizomycetes; Pezizales; Morchellaceae. The record is from RNAcentral.
AACCAACAGGGAUUGCCUCAGUAACGGCGAGUGAAGCGGCAAAAGCUCAAAUUUUAAAGCUGGCACCUUCGGUGUCCGCGUUGUAAUUUUGUGAGGCAUCUCCGGGUAGGGCGCCGGCCUAAGUUCCUUGGAACAGGACGUCAUAGAGGGUGAGAAUCCCGUGCUUGGCUGGCUGUCCCCGUCCAUGUGAGGUGUCUUCGACGAGUCGAGUUGUUUGGGAAUGCAGCUCAAAAUGGGUGGUAAAUUUCAUCUAAAGCUAAAUAUUGGUGGGAGACCGAUAGCGCACAAGUAGAGUGAUCGAAAGAUGAAAAGCACUUUGAAAAUAGAGUUAAAAAGUACGUGAAAUUGUUGAAAGGGAAGCGCUUGAGACCAGACUUCGGUGGGGAGUGAUCAGCUGUCCUUCUGGGCGGUGCACUUGCUCCCCUCCGGGCCAGCAUCGGUUGGGACGGCGGGAUAAAGGUCCCGGGAAUGUGGCUCCUCUCGGGGAGUGUUAUAGCCCGGGUGAAUGCCGCCAGCCCCGACCGAGGACCGCGCCUUCGGGCUAGGAUGCUUG